This 484-nucleotide ribosomal RNA is filed under the name uncultured bacterium. Its description in RNAcentral is "partial 16S ribosomal RNA". It matches the Rfam family "Bacterial small subunit ribosomal RNA", at positions 30 to 507 of the family's 1533-position model. The record is from RNAcentral.
AUUGAACGCUGGCGGCAGGCCUAACACAUGCAAGUCGAGCGGAUGAAGGGAGCUUGCUCCUGGAUUCAGCGGCGGACGGGUGAGUAAUGCCUAGGAAUCUGCCUGGUAGUGGGGGAUAACGUCCGGAAACGGGCGCUAAUACCGCAUACGUCCUGAGGGAGAAAGUGGGGGAUCUUCGGACCUCACGCUAUCAGAUGAGCCUAGGUCGGAUUAGCUAGUUGGUGGGGUAAAGGCCUACCAAGGCGACGAUCCGUAACUGGUCUGAGAGGAUGAUCAGUCACACAGGAACUGAGACACGGUCCAGACUCCUACGGGAGGCAGCAGUGGGGAAUAUUGGACAAUGGGCGAAAGCCUGAUCCAGCCAUGCCGCGUGUGUGAAGAAGGUCUUCGGAUUGUAAAGCACUUUAAGUUGGGAGGAAGGGCAGUAAGUUAAUACCCUGCUGUUUUGACGUUACCAACAGAAUAAGCACCGGCUAACUUCGUG